UACGUAGGGUGCGAGCGUUAAUCGGAAUUACUGGGCGUAAAGCGUGCGCAGGCGGCUUUACAAGACAGAUGUGAAAUCCCCGGGCUCAACCUGGGAACUGCAUUUGUGACUGUAUAGCUAGAGUACGGCAGAGGGGGAUGGAAUUCCGCGUGUAGCAGUGAAAUGCGUAGAUAUGCGGAGGAACACCGAUGGCGAAGGCAAUCCCCUGGGCCUGUACUGACGCUCAUGCACGAAAGCGUGGGGAGCAAACAGG
Molecule: ribosomal RNA, 253 nt
Filed under: uncultured bacterium
Lineage: Bacteria
Description: partial 16S ribosomal RNA
Rfam family: Bacterial small subunit ribosomal RNA
Source: RNAcentral